This 454-nucleotide ribosomal RNA is filed under the name uncultured bacterium. RNAcentral describes it as "partial 16S ribosomal RNA". It matches the Rfam family "Bacterial small subunit ribosomal RNA", at positions 28 to 507 of the family's 1533-position model. The record is from RNAcentral.
GAUGAACGCUGACAGAAUGCUUAACACAUGCAAGUCAACUUGAACUUCGGUUUGGGUGGCGGACGGGUGAGUAACGCGUACAGAACUUGCCUCACAGAUAGGGACAACAUUUGGAAACGAAUGCUAAUACCUGAUAUUAUGAUUAUAUGGCAUCGUAUAAUUAUGAAAGCUAUAUGCGCUGUGAGAGAGCUUUGCGUCCCAUUAGCUAGUUGGAGAGGUAACGGCUCACCAAGGCGAUGAUGGGUAGCCGGCCUGAGAGGGUGAUCGGCCACAAGGGGACUGAGACACGGCCCUUACUCCUACGGGAGGCAGCAGUGGGGAAUAUUGGACAAUGGACCAAGAGUCUAAUCCAGCAAUUCUGUGUGCACGAUGAAGUUUUUCGGAAUGUAAAGUGCUUUCAGUUGGGAAGAAAAAAAUGACGGUACCAACAGAAGAAGUGACGGCUAAAUACGUG